RNA transcript from Wyeomyia smithii (pitcher-plant mosquito), 1104 nucleotides. It is a transcript of the gene named dynein axonemal light chain 1-like, with no coding region annotated. NCBI's taxonomy places the organism in Eukaryota, Metazoa, Arthropoda, Insecta, Diptera, Culicidae. The transcript has 3 exons. The record is from RefSeq and is a predicted model, not a curated record.
UGUUCGUUACGCAAACUAAACAUGAAUGCGAAAGCAACCACAAUAAAAGAAGCCCUCAAACGUCUAGAGGAUCGCUCUAAAACCAAUCCCUGUGAUGAGAAGGAGAUAGAUUUGUGCUUCCAGUGGCCACCGAUUGAGAAAUUGGACACCACACUUUCCACUUUGGUUGCAUGCGAGAAGCUGUCCCUCUCAACAAACAUGAUCGACAAAAUCUUCGGCCUCAGUGGGAUGAAAAACUUGCGCGUCCUUUCGCUGGGAAGAAACUACAUCAAAGCCAUAUCCGGUCUUGAGGGAGUCAGCGACACCCUGGAGGAGCUGUGGGUCAGCUAUAAUCUAAUCGAAAAGCUAAAGGGCAUAAAUGUGCUGAAGCGGCUGAAGGUUCUGUACAUGAGCAACAAUCUGGUGAAGGACUGGGUUGAGUUUAAUCGUCUGGCAGAUCUGCCGAUGCUGGAGGAUUUACUUUUCGCCGGCAAUCCGCUCGUCGAGUCAAUGGAGGAAAGCGUAUGGCGGACGGAAGCUAGCAAACGAUUACUAUCGCUUAGAAAGCUAGACGGAGAGACGGUUAUACGCGAGGAAACCGAGAACCAGCCGCAGCUGGCACCCGGAGCUCCAGAUAAGGCAAUUUCCGGAUAAAUAUUUAACUUGAUUUUUAGUGAAAAUAUAUUUUAGGAUGCAAACUAAGCCGUUCUGUUCAGUAAAAUCUGAAAAUUUUCCGUCACCAGAUAAUCGUCGCCAAAAACAACCACUAAGUUCACCUCAAAUUCUAAAAUUUAAACAAAUUAUUACUCUCGAUGGUUCUACGACAUCAAUGCUUAUUAGAGACACAUGAAUCAUCGCUUCUUACUGAGAGACAUGAUCCACCGAACAUAGAUAUAAGUUUUGAUUUCUAAGAGAUAAGGAACAAUCACACCUCAACGAAUAGUAUUAAGAAUUGAUAUUUACUCAUACAGAGAAGAACUUUAAUUGUUAUUGUUAGCCGUAGGUUUAAAUGAUUUGUAUUAUUAAAUUAUAUUUAUGAAAGAGAAAAGAUGAGAGGGUUUUUACGCCUGUUUGAGGAGGAACAGUCGGGAUACAGACUCUACUCAAGCUGGCUUCUCCCUACUC